Non-coding RNA from Carica papaya (papaya), 837 nucleotides. The record is from RefSeq and is a predicted model, not a curated record. Lineage: Eukaryota; Viridiplantae; Streptophyta; Magnoliopsida; Brassicales; Caricaceae.
CAAAAAUCUGGUGUUAAAUUCUUUGAGAUUGAUCACGCUCGAAGGCUGCAGGCACCCGCUUUACUGUUCAUUGUUUGUGCAGGAUUGGCCUGGACCUGGCAUAAAUUAAUGGACAUCUAUGUGAUGAAUGACUUUUCAUUGAUGUAUCAAUUUCCGGGCACUGAAGCAUCAUAUUACAGACUUACAGGAAGCAGUUGAGUUGCUGAAGUCUGAACUAGAAUGUUCUUUCAUUGAUGCAUAUUUUUGUUAUUGCUGUUAUGUAAUGACAAUAAUUAUUGUGGUCGGAAGCUGGCACAGUUGAUGAUUUUUCUGGGCAUGCUUUGAUUCUGAAAGAAACAAAGGGAGGGAAGAAGAUAAAUCUUGGGGUUACUAGACUUUCAUUCUCUGGACGCUGAAGAGAAAAGUUACUGGUUGAGUCAGGGCGAAGGCAAAGAGGCAUAUCUUGAGACAUACAAUAGCAGCAAAGUGGAUGAUGCGAGUACAAGGAACCAAUACUAGACAAAAGACCACUUUAGUUAACUAAUUGGAGAUUCUUUGAAACAAGAUCAACACAUCCAACAUACAAGCAAAACUUGAGAUGACAACAGCACAUGCUCUAUGAAGUGCGUUUUAGAAGCGUCACCUUGCUUGGAGUCAUUACCAUUCUCUCUGUAUCUUCAUUCAACCAAGCACAACAUUGUUGACAAUAUGUAUAUCCACUUACUUCACAAAUUACGUAUAUGUAGUUAAUGUUGUGCGCAUGAAAUAUGUGAUCUCUUAAUCUUCAACGGUAUCUAUUUAUAUAUAUAUAUAUAUGUUUGUAAUAAAAUAGAAGACUGGAAGUUGGGCAUAAUAUUA